CUACCCUUGACAUGUACGGAAGCCACGAGAGAUCGAGGCGUGCUCGAAAGAGAGCCGUAACACAGGUGCUGCAUGGCUGUCGUUAGCUCGUGUCGUGAGAUGUUGGGUUAAGUCCCGCAACGAGCGCAACCCUUGUCAUUAGUUGCUACGAAAGAGCACUCUAAUGAGACUGCCGGUGACAAACCGGAGGAAGGUGGGGAUGACGUCAAGUCCUCAUGGCCCUUAUGGGUAGGGCUUCACACGUCAUACAAUGGUACAUACAGAGGGCCGCCAACCCGCGAGGGGGAGCUAAUCCCAGAAAGUGUAUCGUAGUCCGGAUUGUAGUCUGCAACUCGACUACAUGAAGUUGGAAUCGCUAGUAAUCGCGGAUCAGCAUGUCGCGGUGAAUA
Molecule: ribosomal RNA, 389 nt
Filed under: uncultured soil bacterium
Lineage: Bacteria
Description: bacterial SSU rRNA
Rfam family: Bacterial small subunit ribosomal RNA
Source: RNAcentral